UUAGGGUCUCUUUGUUUCAUAUUACAUUUGUCUGAUUCUUACAGUAAAGCUAUUAGCAUAUGAUGUAAUAAGAGGUGUUGCUAUCAGCUGACUUGUUGCAAAGCCUGACACUUUUAAGGCUAAGAGGGAGUAAUUGGACCAAGGUCACGCAUCUGGUUUCAUGGAUAAAGAAAGUACUAGAACAUGAAUCUCCUUACACCUAUAACUACUCCUUAAACACCAACCACAGCAUUCUGGUUUUCAUCUACAUAAAAGAUCAGGAAUACGAAACAACAGGACUUCUCCCAAGCUGAAUGAUGGAGAGAUUUGUUUCUCCUGGUGAAAAAUAGCUGAUUUUGCUGCCAAAGUGGGUUCUUUGGCAGCUUGCCAAAGAAGCUAGGAAUGACCCCCCCCAAAUGACCCUCGGACAACUGUGGACCCUCCUGAGAAGAAGGAAUCUUGAGGACUGCAAUUCCUGUCUCUCCUGUGAAAACAGCAAAAAAUAUGUGUCCCUAUUGGAAUGGAAGUGAAGAUUUUAUGAAAUGAAGAACAUGGAAUUCAGCAGAUCAGUUCAUUUCUGAGUGAAGAUUUUGCCCUUUGCUAUUAAAUGUGUUUCCAGAUAUGCA
Long non-coding RNA from Pantherophis guttatus, 605 nucleotides. RefSeq lists it as uncharacterized. NCBI's taxonomy places the organism in Eukaryota, Metazoa, Chordata, Lepidosauria, Squamata, Colubridae. The record is from RefSeq and is a predicted model, not a curated record.